AUGCACCAGAUACAAGCCUGACAGUCGACGCAGUCCCACUCUGGGACUCUGUCAUGUGUGGCUGCUUGGGUUACACACGGUGCGAGAGCAACCUCAGUCCUGAGAUUUAAGCUUGGCAGUGGGAAGCGUCACUGUCGAGUUAUGGCUCAGAGGCACAGAG
This is a non-coding RNA of Platichthys flesus (European flounder), 160 nucleotides long. RefSeq annotates it as small Cajal body-specific RNA 1. The transcript has a single exon. The record is from RefSeq and is a predicted model, not a curated record. Lineage: Eukaryota; Metazoa; Chordata; Actinopteri; Pleuronectiformes; Pleuronectidae.